GAUUAUUCUAUAAAGAAGAAGGCUGCACCCAAAGAUGCGGAGUGGCUGGCUAGUAAGUACAGAGUCAGGAUUCAAACCAGCUCUGUUGGCUCCAGUAUCCCCUGUGGCUACUUGGGAAAGCAGGAUUGAUGAAAAAGGGAAGAAAUUCUGUUGGUUAGAGAAACACUCACUGCUGUAGCAAACUCUGAAAUUUGUAAUUGCUCCAAUAAUAGACGUGUAUUUCUCAUGUAGAGUCUCAAAUGGGAUUCCUGGUGAGCAGAUGGGCCUUCUCCAAGAAGAGAUUCAGGAACCUGUGCUCCCUCCAUCCUGUGGUACCAUCAACUUCACAUGUGACUUCAAGCUGCCACACCCAUCUGCUUCGAACUGGCAGCAGGGAAGAGCCUGGGGGAAUGGGAGGUUUUGUGGAUCAGAUGUAGAGGUGGCACACGUCACUUCUAAUCACCCUUUGGCUGUAACUCAAUUACUUGGCCAGUGCUUACCAG
RNAcentral lists this long non-coding RNA (482 nucleotides) under Homo sapiens (human). RNAcentral's name for it is "non-protein coding lnc-KLF3-6:1". The record is from RNAcentral. Lineage: Eukaryota; Metazoa; Chordata; Mammalia; Primates; Hominidae.